AUUGGUUCCAUUUUAUGAAAAUAUUUAUUCCCUUUUUUCAUUAUAAAUGACCUUUUACUUUUUUUGCUUCAUAGAACAAGAUGUUACAAUUAUGGUUUUUAAAUUAUCUUUGAUUUGCUAUUUAAAUGCUUGAACAGUAAAUUCUAUGAAGAAUUGAGAAACAAAACAAGGUGACGAUGACAAGUUAUUUGCUUUGUUUUUAUUUUAUUUAGCGGUCUGAUUUUAUUAUAUCUUUGCUGUUGUUCAUCUUCGAAAUCAGUGUUGUAUUUGAAGUAACUCUAUUUCUCAGAAGCUUCUAGUGACUUUUCUCCAUAGCUUUUUGCUUAAUCUUUUUUUCACAUGAUUUACUCUUUCUUGGGAUUUGAGAUUUGUUUUUUUAGCUUUAUAUUUUAUGCCUACCAAUCUGAGCAAUGAUCUUAGAGGAAGAUUAUGCAUAUUUUUGCAGACACAUUUUCAGAAAAUUAUGCAGUAAAAAAAUAUGCAUAUUUAUUGUCACAAUCACAAACUGAAGCGUCAUAACAUUUCUGCACUCUGAUAUGGUACCCAUACUUCUUUUACUGUCAGUUUCCUUUUUGACAUGACAACUAUAUUUUUCAGCAGUCACCUGGUACAAUCCUGCACUCGAACCAUACUGAUAUAUCAGACUCUGAUUCAAGGGCUGUACGCAGUACUCCCUAUUUCCUUUAUCUUUUCCCAAAAAUCUGGAGUAAGCGUAAUGUUACUUCUAAAAAAAAUACAGUACACUCCUAUAUAUAUAUAUAUAUAUAUAUAUAUAUACACACACACAUAUACAUAGGCUUCAAACCAUAUACAUUUCUGCAUCAUCACCUUUGAAAGAAGAACAAAGGCCAUCAACCACCUCAGUUUUCUGACUCAAUAGAAUGAUAGAAAACUACAAGUUAAUCCCAAAAAUCAACCUUAGUGAAAAGAACUGGCAAGCUAAGGUAAUAGUUGCAGUAAAGUUGGCGCCAAAGCAAGCAAGAAACAGUAACAAUAAAUAUCAAAACAUGGUACUUAUGGAUCUCAAGGGAAAUAAAGUGCAAAGAACACUUAUGAUGGAAACAUUAUUGCCUUCGAAGAUCAGCUUCUUUUGAGCAAAACAUACAUCAUUUCAAAUGCUCUCGUUAAAGACACCAAACCUGAAUAUUGAGCUUCAAAUGGUGACAUGCAAUGGACAAUAUCUGGAAAGACACGAGUUGAAGAAGUUAAUGAAAAUAAUCUGGAAUUCUUGUUUUCAACAUACACAUUUACUCCAUUUGAAGAUCUAGAUAAAUUCAUGGACUGCAACAACAACAUAAGUUCUUUCUGCUACCUCUUUCUAUAUUUUUUCGUAGCUAUAUCUUAUCUUUUUACUUCAGUACAUUCAUAUUCGCUUAUCGUAUUUAUUAACAUUUAACUGAUGCUGCUACAAAUAAUAUCUAUAUAGGCGUACUAGCAGUUGCUAUUGACAUGCUUCCAAAAUAACUCAUUCAAACACAAUUUGGAAACCAAACGUAUGUGCAAGAUGUUUUACUGAUAGAUAAAAGCUUCCAUACAAUCAUCUUAACAAUGUGGAAUAGUUAUGUCAAAAAAGAAUGUGCUUCUGCUUGUGAUCUUAACCAACUAGUUGAAAGUUUCAUCAUUUAAUGGUGCUACUUCUUAUGUCUUACUGUGCAGCUUAAUAUUGUCCAUGAAAAUUGCCAUGAUUAUGUACAAGCAACAACUAAUGUUAGGUGUUCGCUACAGGCCUUACACUUUCAACCAAAAUAAAUAGCACCUUCUUUAUCGAUGCUAGAUUCAACAAAGUUGUGGAAUUCCGAGCAUGGGUUGAAGCACAUUCUGAGGAACUGAAUGAAAUCGCACUGGAGAGUAACACCAACUAAUCUAUCUCCUCCAGCUCACAAGAAAUUUAUGCAGAUAUAAAAUAUAAAAGAACAGCUACUAGGGCACAAAUACUUCUGGAUCAAAGCCAAAGCAACCAUCAAGACAACAAAGCAAGCUUUCUGGUACAUGUCAUGUAGCAAUUGCAAUAAAGUUAGCCACGAAAAUUUUGGUAAGACUUUUCCAUGUAUUUACUGCAAAUAUACUUCCGCAAAGGCUGUCCCUAGGUAAUCCUCACUAAAUUCCUUUCCGAUUUGUACCACUUAAAGAAAUACCUUGUUAAACUUCACACAGGUUCUUCCAUUUCAAUCUUUUUUCUUAAUAAUAAUGAUCUCAAUCUCCAUUAUCAUAGGGCAAAUGCUAAUGUACAGUUAGAAGAUGCAAGUGGAAUCUUAAUUACAGGCAAGUGAUCCAAACAUUAAUGAGUUCGUUCAACUAAAUCCUGAAGAAGAACUUAUCUUUUAUCUCAAAGUCACACAACUGGAGCCAAACGCUACAGAGUACAACACUGCUUUUGCCUACAACUCUUCCAUGACGUUUAAGCUUAGCAAGAAUGUAUAACGAGCUUCAUGAUGGUUUAGCUUGUGGCUUAACUAUUAUGGGAUAUCAAUGCUUUUGAAAUGUGUAUAUAUAUAUAUAAAUCAUCCAGUGUUUCUUCCUGAGAAUGUUAUUUUAUAGUUUACCUUAGUUUUGUUAA
Olea europaea var. sylvestris is the source of this 2557-nucleotide long non-coding RNA. RefSeq lists it as uncharacterized. The record is from RefSeq and is a predicted model, not a curated record. NCBI's taxonomy places the organism in Eukaryota, Viridiplantae, Streptophyta, Magnoliopsida, Lamiales, Oleaceae. The transcript is spliced from 7 exons.